RNAcentral lists this ribosomal RNA (429 nucleotides) under uncultured prokaryote. RNAcentral's name for it is "bacterial SSU rRNA". It matches the Rfam family "Bacterial small subunit ribosomal RNA", at positions 355 to 776 of the family's 1533-position model. RNAcentral also lists the same sequence under 1 other name. The record is from RNAcentral.
UUAGGAAUAUUCGACAAUGGGGGAAACCCUGAUCGAGCGAUGCCGCGUGAGUGAUGAAGGUCCUUUGGAUUGUAAAACUCUGUUAUAUGGGAAGAACGACUAGAAUAGGAAAUGAUUCUAGUGUGACGGUACCAUGUCAGAAAGCUCCGGCUAACUACGUGCCAGCAGCCGCGGUAAUACGUAGGGAGCGAGCGUUAUCCGGAUUUAUUGGGCGUAAAGCGUGUGUAGGCGGUUUAUUAAGUAUAAGAUUAAAGCCUGGGGCUCAACUCCAGUUCGUCUUAUAAACUGGUAGACUUGAGUGUGGUAGAGGUAAAUGGAAUUUCUAGUGUAGCGGUAAAAUGCGUAGAUAUUAGAAGGAACAUCAGUGGCGAAGGCGAUUUACUGGGCCAUUACUGACGCUGAAACACGAAAGCGUGGGGAGCAAAUAGG